RNAcentral lists this ribosomal RNA (370 nucleotides) under uncultured organism. RNAcentral's name for it is "partial 16S ribosomal RNA". It matches the Rfam family "Bacterial small subunit ribosomal RNA", at positions 527 to 896 of the family's 1533-position model. The record is from RNAcentral.
AGAGGGUGCAAGCGUUAAUCGGAAUUACUGGGCGUAAAGGGCGUGUAGGUGGUUUGAUAAGUUGGCUGUGAAAGCCCCGGGCUUAACCUGGGAGGGUCAGCCAAAACUAUUAGACUAGAGUACGGUAGAGGGUAGUGGAAUUUCCGGUGUAGCGGUGAAAUGCGUAGAUAUCGGAAGGAACACCAGUGGCAAAGGCGACUACCUGGACUGAUACUGACACUGAGGCGCGAAAGCGUGGGGAGCAAACAGGAUUAGAUACCCUGGGUAGUCCACGCCGUAAACGAUGAGAACUAGCCGUUGGAAACGUAAGUUUUUAGUGGCGCAGCUAACGCGAUAAGUUCUCCGCCUGGGGAGUACGGCCGCAAGGCUA